This 252-nucleotide ribosomal RNA is filed under the name uncultured bacterium. RNAcentral's name for it is "partial 16S ribosomal RNA". It matches the Rfam family "Bacterial small subunit ribosomal RNA", at positions 524 to 776 of the family's 1533-position model. The record is from RNAcentral.
UACGUAGGUGGCAAGCGUUAUCCGGAAUGAUUGGGCGUAAAGGGUGCGCAGGCGGAACCAUAAGUCUGAAGUAAAAGCCAUCGGCUCAACCGAUGUAAGCUUUGGAAACUGUGGAUCUGGAGUGCAGGAGAGGACAGUGGAAUUCCAUGUGUAGCGGUAAAAUGCGUAGAUAUAUGGAGGAACACCAGUGGCGAAGGCGGCCUGCUGGACUGAAACUGACGUUGAGGCUCGAAAGCGUGGGGAGCAAACAGG